AUGAACGCUGGCGGCGUGUCUAAGGCAUGCAAGUCGAACGGGUUACUGGAGUCAGCAAUGAUUUUAGUGACUAGUGGCAAACGGGUGAGUAACACAUUAGUAAUCUGCCCCAAAGUUCGGAAUAACGGUCCGAAAGGACCGCUAAUACCGGAUGUGAUCCAAGGAUGAUGUCCUUGGAGGAAAGCCCAAAAGGCGCUUUGGGAGGAACUUAUGGCUUAUCAGCUAGUUGGUGGGGUAAUGGCCCACCAAGGCUAUGACGAGUAGCAGGCGUGAGAGCGCGACCUGCCUCAGUGGAACUGAGACACUGUCCACACUCCUACGGGAGGCUGCAGUCGAGAAUUUUCCUCAAUGGGCGAAAGCCUGAAGGAGCGACGCCGCGUGCGGGAUGAAGGGCUUCGGCCUGUAAACCGCUUUUAUUUGGGAAGAAGUGCAAACUGACGGUACCAAAUGAAUAAGAGGUUGCUAACUCUGU
This 472-nucleotide ribosomal RNA is filed under the name uncultured bacterium. RNAcentral describes it as "bacterial SSU rRNA". It matches the Rfam family "Bacterial small subunit ribosomal RNA", at positions 29 to 506 of the family's 1533-position model. The record is from RNAcentral.